UACAGAGGGUGCUAGCGUUGCUCGGAAUCACUGGGCGUAAAGCGCACGUAGGCGGAUUGCUAAGUCAGGGGUGAAAUCCUGGAGCUCAACUCCAGAACUGCCUUUGAUACUGGCGAUCUUGAGUCCGGGAGAGGUGAGUGGAACUGCGAGUGUAGAGGUGAAAUUCGUAGAUAUUCGCAAGAACACCAGUGGCGAAGGCGGCUCACUGGCCCGGUACUGACGCUGAGGUGCGAAAGCGUGGGGAGCAAACAGG
This 253-nucleotide ribosomal RNA is filed under the name uncultured bacterium. RNAcentral's name for it is "partial 16S ribosomal RNA". It matches the Rfam family "Bacterial small subunit ribosomal RNA", at positions 524 to 776 of the family's 1533-position model. The record is from RNAcentral.